RNAcentral lists this ribosomal RNA (253 nucleotides) under uncultured bacterium. RNAcentral describes it as "partial 16S ribosomal RNA". It matches the Rfam family "Bacterial small subunit ribosomal RNA", at positions 524 to 776 of the family's 1533-position model. The record is from RNAcentral.
UACGUAGGGGGCUAGCGUUGUCCGGAUUUAUUGGGCGUAAAGAGCGUGUAGGCGGCCAUGUAGGUCCGGUGUGAAAACUCGAGGCUUAACCUCGAGAUGUCAUCGGAAACCAUUUGGCUAGAGUCCGGAAGAGGAGAGUGGAAUUCCUGGUGUAGCGGUGAAAUGCGCAGAUAUCAGGAAGAACACCGAUGGCGAAAGCAGCUCUCUGGGACGGUACUGACGCUGAGACGCGAAAGCGUGGGGAGCGAACAGG